This 1203-nucleotide long non-coding RNA is filed under the name Homo sapiens (human). Its description in RNAcentral is "PREDICTED lncRNA (TCONS_00240429)". Lineage: Eukaryota; Metazoa; Chordata; Mammalia; Primates; Hominidae. The record is from RNAcentral.
GUGAGGGAAGUGGUUGGGAGGACAGGUGGGGUAAGGUACAGAGAAGAAUCCCGAGAAGAAACAGAGUCUAGGGAGGAUGCUGGUGUCAGUGGUGAGAGGGACUGUGUGAUGUGAGUUUUACGUGUCAACUAGGGCAGGCCGUGCCACCCAGAUAUGUGAUCAAACACCAGUCUAGAUGUCACUGUGAAGGUAUUUUUUAGGUGAUUCACAUUUAAAUUACACUAAGAGUAAAGUAGUUAUCCUCCAGGAUGUGGUUAGGCCUCAUCACAAAGGCCUUAAGAAGGAAAAAAACCAGAGGUCCCCUAAAGAGGAAUACAUUCUGCCUUCAGACCGACUUUGGACUUCAGCAGCAACACCAGCUCUUCCCUGGUCUCCAGCCUGUCUGCCUGCUGCGCAGACUUCAGCCUGGCCAGCCCUCAUAAUCAUGUCCUCAGCCUUAUUCCGGACCAUCAGUGCCCUUCUUCUUCCACCUGCCGCUCCAGGAGACUGGCCCCAUCAAAGUGGGUCAGUGCAGGCUCUCAUUUCAUCUGCACCCUACUGAUAAAACAGGUGGCACCAAGUGCUGAGCAGGUGCUAAGCAGGCUGUGGCUUAAGUUAUUACUCCUUAAAGAGUGACUAUUGAUGUUAUGGUGUCAAAGCCUUUGUACAAAUGUGUGACUAAGCUGAGGACCUCACAGUCAGGGCAGGUCCAUUCUCCUGCUAGUUGGGCUGGCCCCAAGUGAGCUACUCUGUUGGCCUGAGGACAAAGAAGCACAGUGGCUUUUCCCGAUGUCAUAGGAACAUCGGAGAAGUAAUCUAGAGGACCAGAUUGCUAGUUCUCUGGGGGGAGAAUGUCUCAUUUAUAUUGCAAUUUUUUAAAAAAAACAAAACAACAAAAAGCUUAAGAAUAACACAACAAACAGCUGUGUACAUACUCUGCAGUGUUAACAGAUGUAAUUUUUUUUCAUAAUUGCUUAAGAUCCUCUUUUAUGCAUUGCUGAUAUAUUUUAAAUUUCUUAAUUUCAAGAGCAGUACCAUUCCCCUCUCUCCCUCAUGGCCAACAACUAUCUUAAAUUUGAUGUGGUUCUAGUCCAUUCUCAUAUGCAUUCUUAAAUGAUUCAUACAAAUGGAAUAAUUCCAAUUGCAACCUGCUUCUUUUUUCCCACUCAAUAUGCUUCUGAGUUUCAGGUACAUCUAGGUCAUUCAUUUUAGCUAUUAUGUAUA